Molecule: ribosomal RNA, 240 nt
Filed under: uncultured bacterium
Lineage: Bacteria
Description: partial small subunit ribosomal RNA
Rfam family: Bacterial small subunit ribosomal RNA
Source: RNAcentral
AGAAUCAACGCUGGCGGCGUGCCUAACACAUGCAAGUCGAACGAGAAAGUGGAGCAAUCCAUGAGUAAAGUGGCGCACGGGUGAGUAACACGUGACUAACCUACCCUUGAGUGGGGAAUAACUGAGGGAAACCUUAGCUAAUACCGCAUAAUACCUACGGGUCAAAGGAGCAAUUCGCUUAAGGAGGGGUCGCGGCAGAUUAGCUAGUUGGCGGGGUAAUGGCCCACCAAGGCGAAGAUC